GGGGGCGUAUAGCUCAGUGGUAGAGCAUUCGGAUGCAGAUCGAGAGGUUUCCGGUUCAAACCCGGGUGUCCCUU
RNAcentral lists this transfer RNA (74 nucleotides) under Trichonephila inaurata madagascariensis. RNAcentral's name for it is "tRNA-Cys". It matches the Rfam family "tRNA". From Rfam's summary of the family: Transfer RNA (tRNA) molecules are approximately 80 nucleotides in length. Lineage: Eukaryota; Metazoa; Arthropoda; Arachnida; Araneae; Nephilidae. The record is from RNAcentral.